This 874-nucleotide ribosomal RNA is filed under the name uncultured bacterium. Its description in RNAcentral is "bacterial SSU rRNA". It matches the Rfam family "Bacterial small subunit ribosomal RNA", at positions 8 to 871 of the family's 1533-position model. The record is from RNAcentral.
AGAGUUUGAUCAUGGCUCAGAUUGAACGCUGGCGGCAGGCUUCACACAUGCAAGUCGAACGGUAACAGGGAGAAAGCUUGCUUUCUUUGCUGACGAGUGGCGGACGGGUGAGUAAUGCUUGGGAAUCUGGCUUAUGGAGGGGGAUAACUACGGGAAACUGUAGCUAAUACCGCGUAAUAUCUUCGGAUUAAAGGGUGGGACUUUCGGGCCACCUGCCAUAAGAUGAGCCCAAGUGGGAUUAGGUAGUUGGUGGGGUAAAGGCCUACCAAGCCGACGAUCUCUAGCUGGUCUGAGAGGAUGACCAGCCACACUGGAACUGAGACACGGUCCAGACUCCUACGGGAGGCAGCAGUGGGGAAUAUUGCACAAUGGGGGGAACCCUGAUGCAGCCAUGCCGCGUGAAUGAAGAAGGCCUUCGGGUUGUAAAGUUCUUUCGGUGAUGAGGAAGGCAGGUAAGUUAAUAGCUUACUUGAUUGACGUUAGUCACAGAAGAAGCGCCGGCUAACUCCGUGCCAGCAGCCGCGGUAAUACGGAGGGUGCGAGCGUUAAUCGGAAUGACUGGGCGUAAAGGGCACGCAGGCGGUGACUUAAGUGAGAUGUGAAAGCCCCGGGCUUAACCUGGGAAUUGCAUUUCAUACUGGGUCGCUAGAGUAUUUUAGGGAGGGGUAGAAUUCCACGUGUAGCGGUGAAAUGCGUAGAGAUGUGGAGGAAUACCGAAGGCGAAGGCAGCCCCUUGGGAAUAUACUGACGCUCAUGUGCGAAAGCGUGGGGAGCAAACAGGAUUAGAUACCCUGGUAGUCCACGCUGUAAACGCUGUCGAUUUGGGGAUUGGGCUUAGAGCUUGGUGCCCGUAGCUAACGUGAUAAAUCGACCG